RNAcentral lists this unclassified non-coding RNA (806 nucleotides) under Bombus terrestris (buff-tailed bumblebee). RNAcentral's name for it is "misc RNA ENSBTSG00005023960.1". Lineage: Eukaryota; Metazoa; Arthropoda; Insecta; Hymenoptera; Apidae. The record is from RNAcentral.
GCAAUCUCCCGUUGACCCAAGCCGUAUGUCCUUCUAUCUGAACAGAUAUAUCUGUGUACCUAUCUCUCUGUUUCGUCCCCACUCCAUCAACAAACAGCGCGCACAGCGGAUCAUUCACGAAGUAAUCACGUGUGUCCUGUGUCUAGUAUGAUGUUCUUCUCGUUGUAACUCAUAGUUUCCGCGUUUCACGUUUUCGACGUGAUCCUUCCCUUCCCAGGAUCGCGGCCAAGUGCGAACUUUUCAAAAUUCAACGAACCUUUGUGCCUUAUCUCUCAUCCUUCGAUCACCUCGGCUCUUUCUUUCUAUUCUUUCCUUCUUCCUUUUGCCAAACGUGAUUUCGCGUUUUCAACGGGUCUGGAAUCUUGAUUUACCAGAUAUACUUCUUCAAUUUCGUGGCUUUUUUACUUUUCUUUUUUCAACCCACAUUUCGUGCCGUGCAUCGGAGCACAGCCCAUUGGUGCAAUACAAAUACAGGUGUUACUCGCAAGAAACAGCUCGUGCAUCUUUUAAUACUCAUAAAACUGCGUCUACCAUUGUGACUCGGAGGAAGUGGUCAGACAUAAAGAACACUGUCGAACAGUCGAACACACGUGUAAGAACACGGUGUAAAGUGUGAGGAUUGGACGUGACAUGUUACCAUAGGAACGACGAGUUUAAGAACUAGAAAGUGAAAAUUAAUAUAAAGUUAGUCAAUGGCUUAAAGCUGACUUCCAAUACAAAGAAAAAUUUUAUAACAUUUACGACGACCUUGAGAUCGCUGUGAUUUCGUUAUGGGAUGUUACGGUAAAUGAGAAAAGUGCAAGGCA